GACGAACCGUGCGAACGUUGUUCGGAAUCACUGGGCUUAAAGGGCGCGUAGGCGGGCAGGCAAGUCAGGGGUGAAAUCCCACGGCUCAACCGUGGAAGUGCCUUUGAUACUGCCAGUCUUGAGGGAGGUAGGGGCGUGCGGAACUUCCGGUGGAGCGGUGAAAUGCGUAGAUAUCGGAAGGAACACCGGUGGCGAAAGCGGCGCGCUGGACCUCUACUGACGCUGAGGCGCGAAAGCCAGGGGAGCAAACGGG
RNAcentral lists this ribosomal RNA (253 nucleotides) under uncultured bacterium. RNAcentral's name for it is "partial 16S ribosomal RNA". It matches the Rfam family "Bacterial small subunit ribosomal RNA", at positions 524 to 776 of the family's 1533-position model. The record is from RNAcentral.